This 1270-nucleotide long non-coding RNA is filed under the name Ananas comosus (pineapple). RNAcentral's name for it is "long non-coding RNA (ACOM_LNC038921)". The record is from RNAcentral. Lineage: Eukaryota; Viridiplantae; Streptophyta; Magnoliopsida; Poales; Bromeliaceae.
GCGGGGGUCGAUUAAUGUUUCCGCCUUUGGCCAUUAGAUAACAAUUUAUCUAGAUCCCGCUCUGAUACCAAUUGAAAGUUUUGAGGAGCCCAAGGAUCUAUCUAGAUUGUAUCUAUCACCUAGAGGGGGGUGAUUGGUGAAAUAGCCAAAAAACCACAAAUCUCACUACGAUAAAAAUAAAUGCGAAAAAUAAAAAUCACACCGAGAUUUACGUGGGAAAACUCCAACUUGGAGAAAAACCCACGGGACCAACACGCGAAAAAACAAUUCACUAAGAGAAAAGAUUACAAGGUGAUUACCGACUCCACGGACUCAACCUCUCUUAACCUCCUAUGAAUCUCGCGCAAUCCUCCGGGUUGUCCACGCCCUCACGUUCGAAUCCACGAACGCCUCGCACACGUCCGAAUCCACGAACGCAACUCGAAUCCACGAGCCCACGAUCCGAAUCCACGAACCGCCGUCAAACAUGUCGAAUCCACGACGCCAUCGUGAAGAACAUCAUGUGUAUGGUGAUCCUUCGCUUAGAGUAUCGAUGAAAACCAGAGAAGCGAACUCCAAGCAAAGCGGAGAUGAAAUCGACAUAUUGAUAUCAAAAUCCAAAAUCUCGAUUUGACCUAAAAGAGGCUUUUUGUAGAAAAUAGGUUUUAGAUGAAAUCCGAGCCUCUAGGGUUUCUCAAACAUGUAUUUUCGUGAUGCUUGAUUUGUUAGAGAACCCCAAUAGUUUAUUUAUAGACUUUACAAUCAAACGGAGUCGGAUUAGAAAGUUUUCACGAUUUUACACUGUGUACGGGUACGCGAAAUGCUGUCACCGGUUAUACAAUGACGGAACAAAAAUUGUGAAGCCAAAGUUGAUGGCUGUACCGAUACGGGGCAAUUGCUGUACCGGUACACAAUGCAAUUUUUCGGAUUUUGCACCAUUCCGGGUUCCGCAAAGUUCCGAAGCACUUUCUAAUCAACUAAACUUUGAUUAAAUGAUUCUAAUGCCUAUAAUUAAGUAUGAAUCACCAUAACAUGAAUUAAAACUUUACCUUUACGUCGUGAUUCAUAUCGUGAGUUAUUUUCCAACUUCUUCGAAAUCUUGAAUUCUUCAAUCUUCGACGACACGCACCGAUUAUUCAAGACUCCGACUCACUUCACGAAACUUGCCAACACACAAGACUUAACAAAAACCUAAAUAAGAAACAAUUAAAACAAUUAAAGUCAUAUGAUGGAGCUAACACAAACCAAUUCAUCUCCCCAAAACAGCAACAUAAUCAAAAGAAUUCUAUCA